AUGCUUUAAGCAUCUAAUCCCUGCAAGAUCACCAUUGCUAGGAAAUCCUGAAAGAUGAGCUUUGUGUAGAUGGAACUGCAACACAUUGUUGUCUCAGUUGCUCCCCUAUUUUUUCUCUUUCUCUAGAGACAGCCAAUAUACUAAGGAGACAAAAUGCUAAUUGCACUUGUGAUGGAAAAAAAUGAUAGGAAUCUGGCUCUGGAAAUCCUUGAUCUGGGACAGAGAUUACUUGCUAAUGAAAUGUGAAUGCAUACCAAACUACACAAACUUGGUUUCCAAUUCUGCUCAAACUGGAAAGACACUGGAGCAGAGGUCUGCAAAGUAUAGCUGUCACAUAAUACAGUAUCAGAGGAAAACACUUCUGCUCAACUUCAACAUAAGUCACCAUACCUGGCAUACUUGCAGCUAUCAGAGGCAGAAUGGUCUUCUCCAUCCAGAGAUUUUGAAAAUGAAAUGGACAGGAAGUUGUAUGCAGGUGAAUAAUUUCUGUUUUAUGAGAGUACUGGGCAAGACAGGACUUUGAUUCAUGCCAAGGAUCCUUUUUGUGUUGAAGGAAGAAAAACUUGAGUUUGUAUUCAUGAAGGACAGAAAAACUUUGUCAGUAGUGGGAAAAAAAGAAAGAAAUUUGUUCUGAGAGUGAGGGAAGAAAUCUGCUUGGUUAUUUUCCCUAAUAUUAGCUUGUAACUUACAGCAUUGUUCUGAUGUAACUGAUGAACCAUCCCUGUAGAAAUGCAUUGGUUUAAUUUUUAUAAAAAUGAAAAACUGCAGAAGUCAUAAAUGUGGCUCCUUGUGCAUACUACGUUCCUCUGGCACCACAGUAUCAAGCUGACAUUGCUAUAAGCUUUUAUAUAUGUGAGACAGUCCUUAGCUCUGCUCUCCACAGCAUGGAAGUAAUAGUGUAAAAUGGAAGAUGGACUGAGAGUAUGUAUUUUUGAUGUCUCAUUAUCUGUUUCAUUGCAACAUUUCAUUGAUAAUAAGCAUAAUUUAUGAUAAAACAUGAAAGAAAAUGUUUUCAGUCUGAUUUCUCUAAUAAUAUUUAUAAAAAGAACUGCCUAACAACAGCUCUGAAACAUUAAGAGCUGCCUUACAGGAGCAUAUGGGAGUCUCCAAUGUAAAUUCAUGACAGGUGUCUACUCAAAAUUUAUUCUGAUAGUAGGUGAGCGGACUCAAACAUGCUCAACACCUAAAUCCUUCAGUUAAAACCUAAAACUAUUGAUUGAAAGCAAACUAUCUCUGUAUAUUUCUUAUUCAUUCCUGCUCUCAGCAGAACUCUUAGACAAAUUGUUUUGUACCAAUACACAUUGCUGUAUCCAGUAUUGUCAUCUGCUGGCAGCAAUUGUUAAAUUUGCGAAUGAAGAGAAGUAAAUGGGAACCCACCAGAGUGAACAGAUUCAUAGAAUGUAAAAAACAGGAUAUGCUAUAUAAACUGAAAUCUCAGAAUGCCUGUAGAAAAUGCAAUUGCCUUGGAGAACAUUUCUGCUCAAACAGAGCAUAUACAUUGUUAAUCCCCAGCAUCGAAAGUA
Long non-coding RNA from Numida meleagris (helmeted guineafowl), 1523 nucleotides. The record is from Ensembl. Lineage: Eukaryota; Metazoa; Chordata; Aves; Galliformes; Numididae.